UACAGAGGUAGCAAGCGUUGUCCGGAUUCACUGGGCAUAAAGGGCUUGUAGGUGGCCUAAUAAGUCAGUUGUGAAAUCGUUUUGCUCAACAAAACAAUUGCAACUGAUACUGUUAGGCUUGAGUGCAGGAGGGGAAAAUGGAAUUUCCGGUGUAGCGGUGAAAUGCGUAGAUAUCGGAAAGAACACCAGUGGCGAAGGCGGUUUUCUGGCCUGCAACUGACACUGAGGAGCGAAAGCCAGGGGAGCAAACGGG
RNAcentral lists this ribosomal RNA (253 nucleotides) under uncultured bacterium. RNAcentral describes it as "partial 16S ribosomal RNA". It matches the Rfam family "Bacterial small subunit ribosomal RNA", at positions 524 to 776 of the family's 1533-position model. The record is from RNAcentral.